Long non-coding RNA from Lagopus leucura (white-tailed ptarmigan), 1560 nucleotides. RefSeq lists it as uncharacterized. The transcript is spliced from 2 exons. The record is from RefSeq and is a predicted model, not a curated record. NCBI's taxonomy places the organism in Eukaryota, Metazoa, Chordata, Aves, Galliformes, Phasianidae.
CUGGUGUUCCUGUCCCUGUUCGUUGCAGAGGAGUUGGACUGGAUGGCCUUUUAAGUUCACUUUCAAAUUAAAAUACAGUAUGAUUCACUGAACCCAGUAGAGGAAGGAAAAGAAGUUAUUGGCUUUCUUACAGUAAAGAAAACUAUGGUCUUCAGUACUGAGAUGCAGAUUGCAAGCACCAGUCGUCUUCUUUGAAGAGAAAUGGGAACUGAAAUCAAGGUUAAAGGAUGCUGAAUAACAUCUUUUGUGCUGAGCAGAGAGACUAAAGGGAAGUUAUUUUCUUUCUUUAUGUUUUGGUAUCAAUUAACUCAGCUGCUUUCCAUGUCUGCGUUUCCUUUUCAGGCCUCUCUAACCUUUCUCCUCUCCUUAAUAUAAGGGCUAUAUUUCUGUCUCCUAAUGAAUAGCUGCAGCAACAGCAGGUGGCCCGAUGAUGUGGUUUGGGCUCUGUUCUUGAGGAUCCACUGUGUGCUUUGGAAACAGCUGAAUUUUGAGCCAUUUGGACACCAUGGUCUGAGGGAACCAGUGAACCAUAUAAAAGCACAGCAUCCCCUAAUUUAGCAGUUAAAAUAGAGGGAAAGGAGAACACUGCUGAAAUAGCAACCGGAGAUAAAGAUAUGCAGGAAAUACCCCACUGGAGGGUACAUUCUUGGCAAUUUUUUUUUUUCUUUGCCACCACCACAGCUCAGGAAGGCAGGAUCAGAUGAAAUAGUCUGCCCUAGGGAAGCUUGAGCAGCUCUUGAUGUGGCAUGCUUUCAGUUGUGUUGACAUGGCAUCUAAUGCGGAAAUAAUUGCACGUAUCCUGAUGUCCAGAAGUAGUCUCUGAUGCAGUUGUCAUGUGGCAAAGCAGCCUGUAGCUGCUAGGACAUCAGUCCAGAUGUGAAGAAGCUCUGUUGGUUCCAGCAGCUAACUUUACAAAUGUAGUAAAAAUAGUCUUGGGAGGACAAGGUUUUUGUUGGCUCUGCUAAGACUAAAGGCAUCCCUGUAGGCAAAAUCAGGCUUAGCCAUCAUUAUGGGUCAGACCCAAGGUCUGUGAAGUCAAAGAGAAUCUAUCCAGUGAUUCCAGCAAGGCUUGGAUCUGUCUCACUGGGGACAGAACAACAAAACAUUGCUUCCCCCAGUUCUCCCCUGUAAAACAAUUUUAGAGCUCUUGCAUCUGUCAUUUUUCUCUUUCCAGACCCUCUCUCUCUCUUGCCCUCUAAUAUUAUUUCUCUCUCUCUUCUUUGGCAGCAAACUGCUCUGGAAAAGUCAGAGGAGAAACAUAAUCAGGCUGUUUUCUUCACUCGCGCGCCGCCCUCGGCAUUGUCUCGGGUAACCAGGCUGCUGUUUGUUAACCAUCAUUGCCUGUUUCAAGUGGAAUUGUUAUCUGGAGCUCCAGGUUCAUCAGGCAAACUGGUUCAGUGCAGCAAGAAUACUGUUUUUUAUUUGUUUAUUCUGUUUUUUAUUGCUCUUUUACAGGCAUAUCUUGGGAUGAGGGACUUGUGCUUCUAAGCAACGCCACUGACUCCUUGUCCUUCCAAUGCUUUCCUCUGCAUCCAAUAAACAGAGUUGCAUCUGAAACUA